AGAGUUUGAUCCUGGCUCAGGACGAACGCUGGCGGCGUGCUUAACACAUGCAAGUCGAACGGAAAGGCCCUUCGGGGUACUCGAGUGGCGAACGGGUGAGUAACACGUGGGUGAUCUGCCCUGCACUUUGGGAUAAGCCUGGGAAACUGGGUCUAAUACCGAAUAUGACCAUGCGCCUCCUGGUGUGUGGUGGAAAGCUUUUGCGGUGUGGGAUGGGCCCGCGGCCUAUCAGCUUGUUGGUGGGGUAAUGGCCUACCAAGGCGACGACAGGUAGCCGGCCUGAGAGGGUGACCGGCCACGCUGGGACUGAGAUACGGCCCAGACUCCUACGGGAGGCAGCAGUGGGGAAUAUUGCACAAUGGGCGCAAGCCUGAUGCAGCGACGCCGCGUGAGGGAUGACGGCCUUCGGGUUGUAAACCUCUUUCAGCAGGGACGAAGCGCAAGUGACGGUACCUGUAGAAGAAGGACCGGCCAACUACGUGCCAGCAGCCGCGGUAAUACGUAGGGUCCGAGCGUUGUCCGGAAUUACUGGGCGUAAAGAGCUCGUAGGUGGUUUGUCGCGUUGUUCGUGAAAACUCACAGCUCAACUGUGGGCGUGCGGGCGAUACGGGCAGACUUGAGUACUGCAGGGGAGACUGGAAUUCCUGGUGUAGCGGUGGAAUGCGCAGAUAUCAGGAGGAACACCGGUGGCGAAGGCGGGUCUCUGGGCAGUAACUGACGCUGAGGAGCGAAAGCGUGGGGAGCGAACAGGAUUAGAUACCCUGGUAGUCC
This 771-nucleotide ribosomal RNA is filed under the name uncultured bacterium. RNAcentral's name for it is "bacterial SSU rRNA". It matches the Rfam family "Bacterial small subunit ribosomal RNA", at positions 8 to 796 of the family's 1533-position model. The record is from RNAcentral.